UAGGGAGCAAGCGUUGUCCGGAUUUACUGGGUGUAAAGGGUGCGUAGGCGGUUCUGCAAGUCAGUUGUGAAAACUAUGGGCUUAACCCAUAGCCUGCAAUUGAAACUGUGGGACUUGAGUGAAGUAGAGGUAGGUGGAAUUCCCGGUGUAGCGGUGAAAUGCGUAGAGAUCGGGAGGAACACCAGUGGCGAAGGCGGCCUACUGGGCUUUAACUGACGCUGAAGCACGAAAGCAUGGGUAGCAAACAGGA
This 250-nucleotide ribosomal RNA is filed under the name uncultured bacterium. RNAcentral's name for it is "partial 16S ribosomal RNA". It matches the Rfam family "Bacterial small subunit ribosomal RNA", at positions 528 to 777 of the family's 1533-position model. The record is from RNAcentral.